Xiphophorus couchianus (Monterrey platyfish) is the source of this 1542-nucleotide long non-coding RNA. RefSeq lists it as uncharacterized. The transcript is spliced from 2 exons. NCBI's taxonomy places the organism in Eukaryota, Metazoa, Chordata, Actinopteri, Cyprinodontiformes, Poeciliidae. The record is from RefSeq and is a predicted model, not a curated record.
GUCCGUUUUUUACGGGAUGGGUGGCAAUCCUAUUCAAGGGUGCUGAAUAGGAUUUUAGGCUAAAGCAACCCUAAAACUGGUCUAGAAUCGCCACUGCUGUCAACGUUAACGCGUUAGCGCACGCGAUUAACCAGAACAUUUUAAUGCGUUAAUAUUACAUAACGCAGAUCAAUCGAACCAUCUAUUUUGACAUCAGAGCCUCUCUCCCGCGGAGGGUUAUCUAGUUCACAGCAGCGCCUUACACACGGGGAGAUACCAACAGCAAAAUACUUUUUCCGCAACUGCAGACAGCAACAAGAGUUGAACAGUUUCAACUUUCUUGUGUUGGGUCUUUAACCAACGUUGUGCACAUCUAGUUUACUAGCCCGGAAUUUCACGUGCACAAAUUACACCUGUCUUCACUGGCUGGAUGAGGACAAUAUGGUGUCACUUCAUCACAGGAAAUGAAUGUAGAGGAACAUUUCUAAACCAACGUUUAAAACAAACUGAGUUUCUAUAAACCUUCCUGAAUAUAAAAACCUGGAAAACUAAGAAUCUUCAGACAAGGUUGGUUUGAGACAACAAAAAAUUUUUUCAGAAUGUGCAUGUUUGAUAUGGGCUUCAUGGUAUCAUAAAAGGGUGGGGCAUCCAAGAAGUAGAAAUUAAAAUAGAUCUAAUAAAAUAGAUCUUAUCUAUCAGUUGGCUCCUGAACAAGUUUGUUACCACUUGUAUGCAUGUGUAAUGGAGUAAAUUUCUCUUAGUUGCUGUUGAGUAUGGGAGAGUACAAAUGCAAGAUAAUUGCUUGGAUUUGAAAUUGUUGGCGUGCAGCAAGAGGGGUUUGCACAGCUGUGAGCAUAUUUAUAUUUCAAGCUUACAAAGUUAGGCAUUGUGAUUAAUCAGCCAGAUUCUGCUAUGGGCAACACAGGCAACCGCCCAGGGCGGCAUCUUAUGGGAGGUGACAAGACCGACCCCUCACCUCUCACCGCCCCAGAUACUCCAAUUGUCUGUGUCUCACUGUAACUUCCAUCCUUCUGUCCAUAGACUAAUGGAUGGUAAACAUAGUGAGAUGUUGCCAUCUUAUUGUAUUUCCAUCCUUAGGUCUACAGAUGAAGGUACAGAAGGUGUCUCUGUCUGCAAACACAAUAUAUGGAUAGGACAUCAGAAUGUAUCUGUCUAUGGAAAUGUUUCUGUGUACCUGAGUAUUAAGUUAAAAUUAAAACUAAUGUCACUGAACAUUGUUAUUUUUCAGGAAACAGCAUCAAGGGCACAAGCGGGUCCAGCAGCGCUUUUUGACACUUAGAGUAUUGUUUCAUAGGCGAUUCAUAGGCUUCAACCCAGAAACAAGAACAAAAGCUGCAAACAGAAAAGUGACAUCAAAACCAACAGAACGACUUAUGCAAAACACAGCAGUGAACCCACAUGUCUCCAUUCUCCUCCUUCAUGAACCAGUGGAACUUUUAAAAUGGUAAAAUUACACAUUUACACACAAUCAGUUCUCUCACUCCAUCUGUCUCCCUGUCUGUCUUUUUCUCUGCCUGUCUCUCUGUAUCUGUCCUGUCCAUU